Molecule: long non-coding RNA, 203 nt
Filed under: Calidris pugnax (ruff)
Lineage: Eukaryota; Metazoa; Chordata; Aves; Charadriiformes; Scolopacidae
Description: lncRNA (ENSCPUG00000007276.1)
Source: RNAcentral
UACUAAACUUGAAACACCUCUUAAAACACAUGUUGUGGGUCCAGAAGAACACAUCUUUCAGUCUUUGAGAAGUAUUUAAAAUACUCCGGCAGAUGAAGAUUUGGAUUUGGCUCGCUUGAUGCUGGACGAUUAAUGAAGGAAGCCCUAACUGGACAAAUGUUGGUCUCCUGAGACAAAGUGUUGUUGAUAACAGAGCAAGCCUG